AGCUGGAUCAUUUCGAGAGUUUUCGAACUCAACAAAAAAAACACUUGAGCAAAUACUCAAAUACUUCAGCGGAUGUGUUAUACACUCCGCUUUAGAACUGAACAACUCAUAACGGUGGAUGUCUCGGCUUCCCAAUCGAUGAAGGACGCGGCAAUAUGCGAUAAAUUCGUAUGAAUUGCAGAAUCAAGCGUAUUAUCAAACCUUUGAACGCAACAUGCGUGCUGGGUCUUAACUCAAGCACGUCCACGGUUCAGUGCCGAUAACUGUGUUGGGGACAUAUUUUAGGCCCUUAAGCACUUGGUAUAAAAGUACCAAUUUAUCAUUUUCAAGGCCUGAACUGUGGUCGACCACCCGCUGAACUUAAGCAUAUCAUUAAGCGGAGGAAAAGAAAACAACUGUGAUUCCCUUAGUAGCGGCGAGCGAAGAGGGAUUAGCCCAAGCCGAAUCAGAUCACAUCUGAAUUGUGGAGUAUGAAGUUCUUUGUAUUUCCGCAUGUUGGAAAAGUUUCCCUGGAAUGGAGCGCCCUAGAGGGUGAUAGCCCCGUUUUCCGACCUCUGCGCGAAACAAUACCUUUGAACUUUCGGAGUAGUAAUGCUUGGGAAUGCAUUGCGAAUGGCAGGUAUACCUCUGCCAAGGCUAAAUAUGAUGGGAAGACCGAUAGCGCACAAGUAGCGUGAGCGAAAGAUGAAAAGCACUUUGGAGAGAGAGUGAAAGAGUACCUGAAGCCGUUAUGAGGUAAGGGAUGGACCACUAUCCAUGACUAGUUGAUGGUUGCUUGGUUCUCCAUGUAAUCCUCUCUUCUGGUCCUGUCUACCGCUGUUUUGAUGACUAGCUUACUUUUUUGGGUUUCGGCCUAUUCUUGCAUGUACUUGAUCUGAUGGACAGUUUUCCUUCGUGAGGGGUGAAACGCUUUGGUCUCCUACAGAGGACUGGGGAUUCCGGAUACCUGCUUCGGCAGGGAUUCCUGUUUCUCUUUCGUUCUUUGGAAGUGCCUUCGUCUUCUCUUUCAUAGGUAGACUUUGAGAUGGCCUUUGGCCACGAUGGGGUUCAUCCGCCCGUCUUGAAACACGGACCAAGGAGUCUAACAAGUAUGCGAGUCAUAUACUGAAUGAAAGUAUAAGGCGUACUGAAAGGGAAGCGCAUAUCUCUGCGUUUGGUGUCAACCGUGCGACUUUUGUUAAUCGGUGCAGCACCGGCCGAGGUCUGGCAAUCGGCUGGAUUUUUGAGCCUGAGCAUACAUGUUGGGACCCGAAAGGUGGUGACCUAUGCCUGAACAGGACGAAGCCGAGGGAAACCUGGGUGGAGGUCCGUAGCGAUGUUGACGUGCAAAUCGCUCGUUAGAUUUGGGUAUAGGGGCGAAAGACUCAUCGAACCACCUAGUAGCUGGUUCACCC
Molecule: unclassified non-coding RNA, 1394 nt
Filed under: uncultured fungus
Lineage: Eukaryota; Fungi
Description: sequence contains 18S rRNA gene, ITS1, 5.8S rRNA gene, ITS2, 28S rRNA gene
Rfam family: Eukaryotic large subunit ribosomal RNA (bases 329-1394)
Source: RNAcentral